Molecule: ribosomal RNA, 242 nt
Filed under: uncultured Bacteroidota bacterium
Lineage: Bacteria; Pseudomonadati; Bacteroidota
Description: uncultured Bacteroidetes bacterium partial 16S ribosomal RNA
Rfam family: Bacterial small subunit ribosomal RNA
Source: RNAcentral
CACGCCGUAAACGAUGAUCACUCGAUGUUGGCGAUACACUGUCAGCGUCUGAGCGAAAGCAUUAAGUGAUCCACCUGGGGAGUACGAUCGCAAGGUUGAAACUCAAAGGAAUUGACGGGGGCCCGCACAAGCGGAGGAGCAUGUGGUUUAAUUCGAUGAUACGCGAGGAACCUUACCUGGGCUUAAAUGUAGAGCGACGUUUCGGGAAACCGAAAUUCCCUUUGGGGCGAUCUACAAGGUGC